Molecule: long non-coding RNA, 1511 nt
Organism: Herpailurus yagouaroundi (jaguarundi)
Lineage: Eukaryota; Metazoa; Chordata; Mammalia; Carnivora; Felidae
Exons: 2
Source: RefSeq, a predicted model, not a curated record
CAAGAAUCUCCAAAUUGAAAGGGUCCAAUAAGCAGCCAAGAACAAUGAAUGAAGACCAACUCCUUGGAACCUCACUGUGAAAUUUCUGAACAGCAAGGAGAAAUGUGAAGAGUCUAAAAAGCUUCUAGAGAGGGGAAGAAAAAGUCACAUACUUAAGCCACUUACAUUGUUAUACUCUAACCUCUGCAACUACCAAGAUAUGAAAUCUCUUUAUGACCUUAACUUUGAGUUUCCCACUUUCUAAUCACCUCCUCUAUGGUUCCCACCCACUCAAUCUAGAACUCCAACCAAUAACUGAGACCCCUGGGUGGCUCUGUGGGUUAAGUGUCCGACUCCUGGUUUCAGCUCAGGUCAUGAUCUCACGGCUUCAUGGGUUCACACCCCACAUCUGACUUUGAACUAGUAGUGCAGAGCCUGCUUGGGAUUAGCUCUCUCUCUGCCCCUCCCCCAUUUGCACUGUCUCUGUCUCUCUCAAAAUAAAUAAAUAAACUUAAAAAAAAAUUAGAACUCCAGUAACUAUUUGAACUCACCAGGAUCCAUAAUCCACUGGUCCCACCAUCUUCUUAUGGAUUGUCUUCCCACUCAAGUUAUUUCCUAUUCAAAUCUGUAGUCCUUCAUUGUAAUCAUUCCCUUAGAUAUUCCAAAUCAAUGCCCUUGCUCUGUUCCCAUUUCACUACACUUAGUGUGACAAAAACCCCAACCAUCUACAAAUGCCAGGCUUGUGUCUGGGGUACCUGGAUGUUGCUGGAGAGUAACUUCCAGCCAUGGUGCCUAUUCCCACUUUGAAUCCAUGAUCGCUAACUUCAGGGAAGCCUUAAGGCUGCCUGGCAAUUCUUCUAGUCCGUUCACUCUCCUGCUUGCCUGGUAAUUACUAUAACCUCUCACAUGUCUAACACCUCCUGUCUCCUUGAUAAUCACACUCUUAGCUGAUGAUUUUGCUUUCCAUUUUACUGAAAAAAUAGCUGUGAUGAGAAGAAAACUUCCACAGGCUCCCAUACCACCAUACAGAGUCCCUCACCUGUACCUAUACGAGUAUCCUCUAUCUUUCUCCUGUUUCUAUGGAACAACUGUCCACAUCAAGGCCAACGCCUCCACCAUCUCCUCUUAUUCACUCAAAUAUCUCUCUGAUAGCACCAUCUUCCCUUUCUGUCAGAUUAUCCCCAUUAACUGAUAAACAUGUUGGUAUUUUGCCCAUCCUUUAAAAAACAGUUUGGCCUGACAGCUCCAUGUAGCUACCCUUCUGUAUCUUCAUUACAUGGUGGCAACAUAAAUCUAUACAACUGUUACAAUUCAGAAGACUGUAUGUCAAAGGAAAAAGAUGUAUAAUUUAAAAAAUAGCAAAAACUUGCUUAAUUUUGAUGUCCAAAAUGAGAGUUCAAAAGGUGCCCAGAUACAAGAUGUUAUACAAAUGUUACAGCAUUUCCUUAACAACUAAGGAAAAAAUUCCAUUCACAACAGCAAAAAAAAUUUUAAAUACCCUGGAAUGAACUUAAGAAUUAUGUAAAACUAUU